RNAcentral lists this transfer RNA (63 nucleotides) under Ishiharodelphax matsuyamensis. RNAcentral describes it as "tRNA-Glu". Lineage: Eukaryota; Metazoa; Arthropoda; Insecta; Hemiptera; Delphacidae. The record is from RNAcentral.
GUUUAUGUAGUUUAUUUAAAAACAAAUUAUUUUCAAUAAUUAAAAAAAGAAAUUUCUUAAACU